Molecule: transfer-messenger RNA, 290 nt
Filed under: Brevundimonas sp.
Lineage: Bacteria; Pseudomonadati; Pseudomonadota; Alphaproteobacteria; Caulobacterales; Caulobacteraceae
Description: partial transfer-messenger RNA
Rfam family: Alphaproteobacteria transfer-messenger RNA
About the family: Bacterial tmRNA, also known as 10Sa RNA or SsrA, is named for its dual tRNA and mRNA-like properties. Its role is to liberate the mRNA from a stalled ribosome.
Source: RNAcentral
UGUAAUAAGCGGACCGGACCCGGGUGCGAUUCCCGGCGGCUCCACCAUUUCUCCCCGCGUUAUCGGCGGAGGCAUAUGGGGCCGACUAGCAUCGACGGACGUGUAAAGAAGACUGCUUUCGCUCGUCCUGGCCCACCGUAUCGGGCCAUUUUCUAACUGCGAACGAUAACUUCGCUGGAGAAGUCGCUCUCGCCGCGUAAUGCGGUUCGGGUGAUUUCGAACCUUAAGUCCUAGGGGUUCAGAUCCCUGGGCGGGGCCUGUCGGGAGCCUGGCAACAGAAUCCCGGCGCU